UAUAUGUGUAACAGCUGCUGUUGGAUUUGCAGCAGGGCUCAGGAUCCUUGCAAAGGCAGAGCAGGAAAGUUUACAGAAAGUUGUUGCUUGAUAGGACAUGUGCAUGUUUUUGAUUGGCUCCUGAGGCAGGAGAGGGGCGGGAACUCUGCCUGGGACUGGCUUGGCUCAGAGAAGGGAAGGGACCUAGGAGCACAGAGCUCGGGGUGGAACCACCGUGUAGCUGAUACCACAGACAGCUGGAGCAACAGAGAGCUUCUCUUCCCCAGGCAGUCUCUAGCAGACAGCAGGACUUUCUGAAGCAGCAGCACCAGCCAUGGUUAUUGUGCUGCCAGUGUGAAGGAGAGCUGAUGUCUUGUUAAACCUGUGUGCUCCAGCUGAAAUUCCCCAGUCUCAAGGUUUAAACUGGGGCGUUGUACUGAGGAUGUCUUUGAUUCAAUUUGUACAGUGUUUUGAUACCUGCCUUUGACAAUUUGAUUAUCGAUACCCUGUUCUGCUUUUAACCUCAUUCAUAUGUUGACUGUUUUGUAAAUAAUAAACUGUGUAAAUAGG
Molecule: long non-coding RNA, 549 nt
Organism: Alligator mississippiensis (American alligator)
Lineage: Eukaryota; Metazoa; Chordata; Crocodylia; Alligatoridae
Exons: 2
Source: RefSeq, a predicted model, not a curated record